CAUAACCCCGGGAACCUGGGGAUAAUUCCGGAUAACGCAUAUUUGCUGGAAUGCUUUAUGCGUCAAAAGGAUUCGUCUGCCCAAGGAUGGGUCUGCGGCCUAUCAGGUAGUAGUGGGUGUAAUGUACCUACUAGCCAGCGACGGGUACGGGUUGUGAGAGCAAGAGCCCGGAGAUGGAUUCUGAGACAUGAAUCCAGGCCCUACGGGGCGCAGCAGGCGCGAAAACUUUACAAUGCGGGAAACCGUGAUAAGGGGACACCGAGUGCCAGCAUCAUAUGCUGGCUGUCCGGAUGUGUAAAAUACAUCCGUUAGCAAGGGCCGGGCAAGACCGGUGCCAGCCGCCGCGGUAACACCGGCGGCCCGAGUGGUGAUCGUGAUUAUUGGGUCUAAAGGGUCCGUAGCCGGUUUGGUCAGUCCUCCGGGAAAUCUGAUAGCUCAACUAUUAGGCUUUCGGGGGAUACUGCCAGACUUGGAACCGGGAGAGGUAAGAGGUACUACAGGGGUAGGAGUGAAAUCUUGUAAUCCCUGUGGGACCACCUGUGGCGAAGGCGUCUUACCAGAACGGGUUCGAGCGUGAGGGACGAAAGCUGGGGGCACGAACCGGAUUAGAUAACCGGGUUAUCCCAGCCGUAAACCAUGCUCGCUAAGUGUCUUGCAUGGCGCGCCCGUGUCUGUUGUCUCACAGGAACGCUGAAAGAGCGCCAUGUGGAAAUAGAAGGGCAAAAGUGUAGAAUUAUAAAGAUUUCGGGGGAGAAGCACAACAGGGGGAGCAUCCGUUUAUUAUAUAGGACUCACCGCAGAAUUCGCGGGGCGGCGACACCAAGAUGUUGAGCAAGAUGAUUUCUCUGCCUGAAUCAAAGAAGGUAGUUGACU
This 873-nucleotide ribosomal RNA is filed under the name uncultured archaeon. RNAcentral's name for it is "bacterial SSU rRNA". It matches the Rfam family "Archaeal small subunit ribosomal RNA", at positions 125 to 999 of the family's 1478-position model. The record is from RNAcentral.